This 68-nucleotide transfer RNA is filed under the name Ophiocten ludwigi. Its description in RNAcentral is "tRNA-Thr". The record is from RNAcentral. Lineage: Eukaryota; Metazoa; Echinodermata; Ophiuroidea; Amphilepidida; Ophiuridae.
GUCUUGAAAGCUCUAAGCGGCCUAUCUUGUAAAUAGGUACAAGUUAGUAAAUUUUCUAACUCAAGACU